UGAAGCUGCCAGCAUGAUCUGAGC
This 24-nucleotide microRNA is filed under the name Prunus persica (peach). RNAcentral describes it as "microRNA miRNA_398". The record is from RNAcentral. Lineage: Eukaryota; Viridiplantae; Streptophyta; Magnoliopsida; Rosales; Rosaceae.